AGUGGAAUUACUGAGUUAUUUGGUAACUCUGUUUAACUUUUUGAGAAACUGCCGAAUGUUUUUUUUCAAAAUGGCAACAUUAUUUUACAUUCCCAUCAGCAAU
This 103-nucleotide microRNA precursor is filed under the name Marmota monax (woodchuck). Lineage: Eukaryota; Metazoa; Chordata; Mammalia; Rodentia; Sciuridae. The record is from RNAcentral.